AAUAGCCUUUCACCUCUGGAGAGCUGGAGUCAAUUCCGGCGAAUCCGGUCCCGCCGUGCAUCAUGGCAAAGUGAGACUGUUGUCUUGCCACCUGGUUCAGCUUGGCCAGAUCGAGCGGAGAAAUGAGGAAGACAAACAUAAAGAUGAAGUGCUUAAUUCAAGGUCACACAAUGUCGGGGAUGGACCUCCAGAUUUCCUUACUGACCUGCAUUAUCUUGUGGAUACCUGAGUGAAUUCCACACCACCCAUUUUAUAGAUGAAACCACUGAGACAUGGAGCAAUUGACUGAGUAGUCACUGCCCCACCCCUGCCUGGAGCCUCACACAUGACUCGCCUCCUCUCAGUGACCACAGGUGAGACGUGGUCUUGUAACACAGUGGUUAAGAAUGUGACUUUGGAGCCAGCCUGCUAGGGGCUGAAUUCUGACUCAGCCAUUUACUAACUGUGUGACCUUAGGUCACAGAAUUUUCCACACUCCUUGACAGAGGUGCUUAACCCUUAUCCAUCAGCAUUCUCAGACAGCACCUCCGGUUAGGGACAGU
RNAcentral lists this long non-coding RNA (542 nucleotides) under Homo sapiens (human). RNAcentral's name for it is "non-protein coding PCBP1-AS1:9". The record is from RNAcentral. Lineage: Eukaryota; Metazoa; Chordata; Mammalia; Primates; Hominidae.